GCAGUGGUGGUGCAGUGUAGAAUGCUCACCUUCCAUGUGGGAGGCCCGGGUUCGAUUCCUGGCCAGUGCA
Molecule: transfer RNA, 70 nt
Filed under: Loxodonta africana (African savanna elephant)
Lineage: Eukaryota; Metazoa; Chordata; Mammalia; Proboscidea; Elephantidae
Rfam family: tRNA
About the family: Transfer RNA (tRNA) molecules are approximately 80 nucleotides in length. Their secondary structure includes four short double-helical elements and three loops (D, anti-codon, and T loops).
Source: Rfam by way of RNAcentral